GACGAACGCUGGCGGCGUGCCUAACCCAUGCAAGUCGAACGAGCAGAGACCUUCGGGUCGAAGCGAGUGGCGGACGGGUGAGUAACGCGUGAACAACCAACCCUGCACAGGGGGACAACAGCUGGAAACGGCUGCUAAUACCGCAUAAGACCACAGAGCCGCAUGGCUUAGGGGUCAAAGGAGAAAUCCGGUGCAGGACGGGUUCGCGUCCCAUUAGCUAGUAGGCGGGGUAACGGCCCACCUAGGCAACGAUGGGUAGCCGAGCUGAGAGGCUGAUCGGCCACACUGGGACUGAGAUACGGCCCAGACUCCUACGGGAGGCAGCAGGGGGGAAUAUUGGGCAAUGGGGGAAACCCUGACCCAGCAACGCCGCGUGAAGGAAGAAGGGCCCUUCGGGUUGUAAACGUUACUGUGACAGGGGACGAAGGAAAAUAGACGGUACCCUGAGAGGAAGCUCCGGC
Molecule: ribosomal RNA, 461 nt
Filed under: uncultured bacterium
Lineage: Bacteria
Description: bacterial SSU rRNA
Rfam family: Bacterial small subunit ribosomal RNA
Source: RNAcentral